This 66-nucleotide ribosomal RNA is filed under the name Acacia flagelliformis. RNAcentral describes it as "partial large subunit ribosomal RNA". It matches the Rfam family "Eukaryotic large subunit ribosomal RNA", at positions 1 to 64 of the family's 3401-position model. The record is from RNAcentral. Lineage: Eukaryota; Viridiplantae; Streptophyta; Magnoliopsida; Fabales; Fabaceae.
CGCGACCCCAGGUCAGGCGGGGCUACCCGCUGAGUUUAAGCAUAUCAAUAAGCGGAGGAAAAGAAA